Molecule: non-coding RNA, 397 nt
Organism: Bernardetia litoralis DSM 6794
Lineage: Bacteria; Pseudomonadati; Bacteroidota; Cytophagia; Cytophagales; Bernardetiaceae
Rfam family: transfer-messenger RNA
About the family: Bacterial tmRNA, also known as 10Sa RNA or SsrA, is named for its dual tRNA and mRNA-like properties.
Source: Rfam
GGGGCUGACUGGUUUCGACAGGACGAGUCUUUGCGUGUAUAAGCAUGUAGGCUAAUGAGAAAACUAGCCUUAUAUCGAUUUCUCAAAACAACAAUCGGCGAAUCUAAUUACGCCAUGGCUGCCUAACUCUAGGAGUUAAGUAACCAUUGUCUUUGCUUAGUGUCUUUACUCUUCCGACACUAACAUCCGUUUGCCACGCAAACUCAUAGACAUCAACCCCGUAAGAGUUAAGCAAAGAUGAGUGCAACGGCAUCUAAGACGAAAAUUCAGUUGAUAAGGAAAAACCUUGGACGUUAUCGCCUAGUUCUUUCCCGACAAUUAAUAGGAUAACUAAACAUGUAGAAACCACGACGAACGCCGUAUCUGGACGUGGGUUCGACUCCCACCAGCUCCACAA